GAUGAACGCUGGCGGCGUGCCUAAUACAUGCAAGUCGAGCGAACAGACGAGGAGCUUGCUCCUCUGACGUUAGCGGCGGACGGGUGAGUAACACGUGGAUAACCUACCUAUAAGACUGGGAUAACUUCGGGAAACCGGAGCUAAUACCGGAUAAUAUAUUGAACCGCAUGGUUCAAUAGUGAAAGACGGUUUUGCUGUCACUUAUAGAUGGAUCCGCGCCGCAUUAGCUAGUUGGUAAGGUAACGGCUUACCAAGGCAACGAUGCGUAGCCGACCUGAGAGGGUGAUCGGCCACACUGGAACUGAGACACGGUCCAGACUCCUACGGGAGGCAGCAGUAGGGAAUCUUCCGCGAUGGGCGAGAGCCUGACGGGGCAACGCCGCGUGAGUGAUGAAGGUCUUCGGAUCGUAAAACUCUGUUAUUAGGGAAGAACAAAUGUGUAAGUAACUAUGCACGUCUUGACGGUACCUAAUCAGAAAGCCACGGCUAACUACGUG
This 497-nucleotide ribosomal RNA is filed under the name uncultured bacterium. RNAcentral's name for it is "partial 16S ribosomal RNA". It matches the Rfam family "Bacterial small subunit ribosomal RNA", at positions 28 to 507 of the family's 1533-position model. The record is from RNAcentral.